UAGCUCAGUUGGUAGAGCAGUUGACUUUUAAUCAAUUGGUCGCAGGUUCGAAUCCUGCACGACCCACCAAUCUUUAAUGAUGGUAACUGGUAGAAAAGUGAAGGAUAACGUUGCGUCAGCAACGGCCCGUAGGGCGAGGCGAAGCCGAGUCAUCCUGCACGACCCACCA
RNAcentral lists this small RNA (169 nucleotides) under Klebsiella quasipneumoniae. RNAcentral describes it as "RtT sRNA". The stretch from base 1 to 66 matches the Rfam family "tRNA". Lineage: Bacteria; Pseudomonadati; Pseudomonadota; Gammaproteobacteria; Enterobacterales; Enterobacteriaceae. The record is from RNAcentral.